CCUACGGGAGGCAGCAGUGAGGAAUAUUGGUCAAUGGGCGAGAGCCUGAACCAGCCAAGUCGCGUGAAGGAUGACGGCCCUACGGGUUGUAAACUUCUUUUGUCAGGGAGCAAUUGGGUCCACGCGUGGCCGUAGCGAGAGUACCUGAAGAAAAAGCAUCGGCAAACACCGUGCCAGCAGCCGCGGUAAUACGGAGUAUGCGAGCGUUAUCCGGAUUUAUUGGGUUAAAAGGGUGCGUAGGCGGAAUAUCAAGUCAGGGGUAAAAAUUCGGGGCUCAACGCCGUCGUGCCGUUGAUACUAAUGUGCUUGAGGGGGCGAGAAGUAUGCGGAAUGCGUGGUGUAGCGGUGAAAUGCAUAGAUAUCACACAGAACUCCGAUUGCGAAGGCAGCAUACCGGCGCCCAACUGACGCUGAAGCACGAAAGCGUGGGUAUCGAACAGGAUUAGAUACCCCUGUAGUC
This 460-nucleotide ribosomal RNA is filed under the name uncultured bacterium. RNAcentral describes it as "partial 16S ribosomal RNA". It matches the Rfam family "Bacterial small subunit ribosomal RNA", at positions 338 to 795 of the family's 1533-position model. The record is from RNAcentral.